Coregonus clupeaformis (lake whitefish) is the source of this 899-nucleotide long non-coding RNA. RefSeq lists it as uncharacterized. The transcript has 3 exons. The record is from RefSeq and is a predicted model, not a curated record. Lineage: Eukaryota; Metazoa; Chordata; Actinopteri; Salmoniformes; Salmonidae.
CAGACCAAACGCACUUCGAAAUUGAAGACAUUUUUCCCGCUUGCUCUACGAGAUCUCACAAUUUCCUCAAGUUCUUUUCAGCCAAACAAUUAGAUACAGGAAAUCAGUUUCAGAUCCACCUCUAGCCUACCAUGUCUGAACCAGGUUCUGUCUGUGAAGUUCCAGCCCAGAGGAGCUCACAGCGGGGUCCAGAGAUGCUGACAGUGAAGCUGGGGGACUGCAGUCAAACAGUGGAACUCAAUGUGAUUGUCAAAGAGGAGGAGGAGGAGAGAGAAAUCGAUGAGGGGGACGAGGAAGAGAGAGAGGAGGACAGGGACUCAGGAGAGAGCCCCAACCCAGACUCAGACAACGAGCCCAGUUCCACAGCAUCAAGACUACCUGGACGUGGGACUUACCCCUGUCCUCAAUGUGAGAAGAGUUUCAGUUCCUCAACUAAUUUAAAGAAUCAUCAAAGAGUACACACUGGAGAGAAACUUUUCCACUGCUCCACAUGUGGGAAGAGUUUCAAUCAUUCCGGACGCCUUAAGGAACAUGAGAGAAUACAUACAGGGGAGAAGCCUUACCACUGCUCUCUGUGUGGAAAGAAUUUUCGUUUCGCAGGAGGCCUAAAGAAUCAUCAGAGAUCACACAGUGGAGAUAAGCCUUACCACUGCUCUCAGUGUGGAGAGGGAUUCACUCAGCUAAGAAGUCUUAAAAGUCAUGAGAGAAUAUCCAUUGGAGGGAAGCCUGCCUGUGCUUUCAAUGUAAUUGUCCAAGAGGAGGAGGGUGAGAGGGAAAUCAAUGUGGAGGAAAAGAGAGAAGUUGAGGAGGACAAUAGUGGUGUAGUUGACAGUGCAUGUCAGAGCAAAAACCAAGCCAUAAGGUCAAAGGAAUUGUCCGUAGAGCUCCGAGACAGGAUU